This is a long non-coding RNA of Haemorhous mexicanus (house finch), 719 nucleotides long. RefSeq lists it as uncharacterized. The transcript is spliced from 3 exons. NCBI's taxonomy places the organism in Eukaryota, Metazoa, Chordata, Aves, Passeriformes, Fringillidae. The record is from RefSeq and is a predicted model, not a curated record.
GAGGAUUUCUGAAGGGACAAGAGUUCUUGUGUUUCAUUGUUUAAGCUCCUUGAGAAUUGAGAAAAGUCUUCUAAAAUUGAUGCUGCAGGCAACAUUUAGACAAAACAGUGAAGAAGAGCAAUAAAACAAGAUGAGUGUGUUGGACCUCACCAGCCACAGGGAUGGAAAACUGCGAGAGAAAUCUGAUUUCUUGGAUGUCUCAAAAGAAGGCUGCAGGAGAGGUCAGCCAGCCCUUUGCAGAGAAAUGCUCAAGUGAUGCAUUAAAGAGUUUAUUGGGACACCAACAGGAAGCUUGCCGUGAAACAGGGAACUGAACUUGUGUCUCCUAAUUCCCAGACCAGCUUCCUUUCAUGUGCCAUCCUUCUUUACCUGAUAAUAAAAAGAAAAUGGAGCAGCAGUGCCUGUUUGACCAGUUGUGCAUAUCUCAGAAUCCAGAUCCAAAGAGGAGAAAAUGGUCCUGCUAAUGCCAGUAGAGAAGAUAUGGCAAUUUCUUCUCCUCCAUGCUGAAAGAACCUCAUUGAAUGUGCUCCUGUACCUGCAGACCUCUGCAUCUGAGCAAAUGUUUUUGCCAAUUAAAGAGUUUCCUGCUGCUGUAGUUGAUCCACACAAAUGGAAAUAGAGGGGAGGCGUGGAGGAAGGAAUCAUUAAAUCAGCGGAACAAAGGCAUGAGGGCAAGUUAAAAGACCUGAUCUGAAUAAAAGAAGCUUCUCAAAAUAUCA